Long non-coding RNA from Brassica oleracea var. oleracea, 292 nucleotides. RefSeq lists it as uncharacterized. Lineage: Eukaryota; Viridiplantae; Streptophyta; Magnoliopsida; Brassicales; Brassicaceae. The transcript is spliced from 3 exons. The record is from RefSeq and is a predicted model, not a curated record.
UUCUUAUAGGAGAAGUUCAAAUUACCAACGCAUUUGAUGCAUCAUUGGUUCUGAUCAAUCCGGAUUUGCCUGAAGUCGUGACUUUCAAAAGCAUGAUGCCACAAAAUGAUACUGCAAUUACUCCUUUCGAUCAAAAUUCAAACAGUAAGGCAAUCAAGGCUCCAAAGGUGGACUGGAAUGAAGUUGAUGUCAAAUCAAUCUCAGAAAUAUUGGUGGCCAUGAAGAUUGAAAGCUGCAAAAUCAUUGUUUCUAUUGAAACCGUAGAUACAGAUUGGGGCUGGUUCUAUUUUGG